UAUGAAAUCGCCUUGAUGAGUUCCUGUUAU
Molecule: non-coding RNA, 30 nt
Filed under: Mus musculus (house mouse)
Lineage: Eukaryota; Metazoa; Chordata; Mammalia; Rodentia; Muridae
Source: RNAcentral